GGAAGGAUCAUUAACGAAGUUUAUUGGGAGUUGAGCUGACUCUUCGGAGUAUGUGCUUGCUUUCAACUCUUCUCUAUAACCACCUGUGCACCUUUGUAGUCUAUUGAUACCUCUCAAAGAGUCGAAAGGCGAUUUGGAUAGAGGACUUGCAGUGUAAAUACUCGCUUGUCUUCAAUUUCAAUAGACUAUGUCUUAUAAACUCAAUAUAAAAAACCAGAAUGUCUUGUAGUGUCUUUAUAUGACCUAUAAACUUAUACAACUUUCAACAACGGAUCUCUUGGCUCUCGCAUCGAUGAAGAACGCAGCGAAAUGCGAUAAGUAAUGUGAAUUGCAGAUUUCAGUGAAUCAUCGAAUCUUUGAACGCACCUUGCACUCUUUGGUAUUCCGAAGAGUAUGCCUGUUUGAGUGUCAUUAAAUUCUCAAACCUUUUUGGCUUUAUUGGUCGAAAAGGCUUUGGAUGUGGGAGUUGCUGGAACUAGCCUUUCAGCUCUUCUUAAAUGUAUUAGCGGGUUACUGAUCUCCGCUACUUGGUGUUGAUAGUCUAUCUUACGCCUUGUAGUUGAAUCAACUUAUGUAGCUGCUUCUAAUCGUCGACUUGGUUGACAAAUUUAUUGACUAUUUGACCUCAAAUCAGGUAGGACUACCCGCUGAACUUAAGCAUAUCAAUAAGCGGAGGAAAAGAAACUAACAAGGAUUCCCCUAGUAACUGCGAGUGAAGCGGGAAAAGCUCAAAUUUAAAAUCUGGCAGGUCUUGUAUCUGUCCGAGUUGUAAUUUAGAGAAGUGUUAUCCGCGUUGGACCGUAUACAAGUCUCCUGGAAUGGAGCGUCAUAGAGGGUGAGAAUCCCGUCUUUGAUACGGACUACCAAGGCAUUGUGAUACGCUCUCGAGAGUCGAGUUGUUUGGGAAUGCAGCUCAAAUGGGUGGUAAAUUCCAUCUAAAGCUAAUAUUGGCGAGAGACCGAUAGCGAACAAGUACCGUGGAGGAAA
This 987-nucleotide small RNA is filed under the name uncultured fungus. RNAcentral's name for it is "eukaryotic LSU rRNA". The stretch from base 621 to 987 matches the Rfam family "Eukaryotic large subunit ribosomal RNA", at positions 1 to 362 of the family's 3401-position model. The record is from RNAcentral. Lineage: Eukaryota; Fungi.